RNAcentral lists this long non-coding RNA (561 nucleotides) under Canis lupus familiaris (dog). RNAcentral describes it as "lncRNA (ENSCAFG00040016556.1)". Lineage: Eukaryota; Metazoa; Chordata; Mammalia; Carnivora; Canidae. The record is from RNAcentral.
GAGUAUGAAAAGAGAGGAAGACAGCUGCUGGACAUGGAAACUUUUAAAUGCAUAAUGCAGCAGAGUAUGAGGUCACAAAAUAAAAAUACUGAACAAAUAGAACAACUUUUCAUGAAAAUAGACUAUGAAUCAAUGGGCAGAAUUCAAUGGGAUGGCUUCUGCACGUAUUUGCAGCUAGAGUAUUCAGAGCAAGUGGAUGCUUUGGCCCAAGAGAAAGAGGUUUCCUUCCAGCUGCCUGCUGCGCUGCAAGGGCUGUCAUAUGGGGGUCCCGUGCUGCGCAUUCUCUCUAUGCCUGACGACACCGUAAUCAUGAUCAGAGAAGAUGGAGCGAUUUAUUUCUGGUCCCUGCAGCUGAAGUUGAAAAGAAGAAAGAGAGUUUUUGACAAGUCCAUGAGUUGGAAGCCCAGGUCGAUGACAGAUGUCAUCGGCAUGCCACAGUACAACAAACUGAUCAUAGGGACUAGAAACCGUGAAAUCCAGCUAUGUGAAUUCUCCAACUGGGAGCCUUACUGUCAGAUCAGUGGCUUAGAAGGUGUUCCUCUGAAACUGGACUACUGGUAA